UACGGAGGGUGCGAGCGUUGUCCGGAAUCACUGGGCGUAAAGGGCGCGUAGGUGGCGCGAGGAGUCUGUGGUGAAAGCCCGAGGCUCAACUUCGGGUCGGCCGCGGAUACUCUCGUGCUGGAGGGUGGUAGAGGCCAAUGGAAUUCCGGGUGUAGCGGUGGAAUGCGUAGAGAUCCGGAAGAACACCGGUGGCGAAGGCGGUUGGCUGGGCCACACCUGACACUGAGGCGCGACACGUGGGGAGCAAACAGG
Molecule: ribosomal RNA, 252 nt
Filed under: uncultured bacterium
Lineage: Bacteria
Description: partial 16S ribosomal RNA
Rfam family: Bacterial small subunit ribosomal RNA
Source: RNAcentral